CCAAAAAGCUAGGUAACUACUUAUGCUGCUGUGACUAAAUUACAAUCAGUGCUUGAGCUAGUUUCCCAGCUCUGGGGCUAUGGUCCCAGCAUGUACAGACAUUCAGCUAGAUCAAGCACGGAGUAGCCCGACCUACAUAGUAUGCCUCCUUAAGUGAACUUAGAAUGGGCUGGCCAUUUUUUGCCCAAUCUAAAUCCCUGAAUGUUGUCAGGACCCAGGGCAGCCGGCCAGCAGCUCUCCCUGACUCCCACCCAGGCAGUUAAGGGUCCGUCAGGCGGGUACUUGUGACGCAUGGAGUGGAAUUAAUUAGGCGGACGCUUAUCGGUUGCAAAGCAAGAUUAUUUACUCACGCCGUCAAGUGGUGAAAGACGGAGGUUAGAAAUACUUGGUUAGUUACAGCUUAGGGUUCGUAGGUCGGUCUGCAUAAGUUCGGUGGUCGGGCAGAGAAAAGGUCGGGCCAGCAGGUCGUUGAUUUACGUCUGAGAUUGGGUCGAGACGCGGGGAACUGACAAGUGAUCAAAUUGUCAGUUACUCUGACACAUACGUUCAGAGGUCUCCAGGUUACGUGUGCGGAGGUCUCCCCUUCUUCAUGGAAGUGAAGACGGGUUUUAUUUGUAUAAUAGCCAAUUGCUUUUUGCCACGUCAUAAAUUUAAUUAGAAUCGCCAAUUAUCUAGCGGUCUUCGCUAGGGUAUUAUCACAGGGUUACUCCUUGUUUUCUUUGACCAAUUAUAAUGAUUUAUGUACAGCACAGAAGGCUAAGUUCUAUUUCAUGUUGGUGUCACAGUUAUAAAUUUCUUUUUGACAUGCGCAGCAAAGAAACUGUUACUAUCAUUUGUUAACCCUUAGUUAACCUAGUGCAGAAAAAAACUGUUUUGAAUGGUUUUACUUGCUUGUGACAUGGGCACUACUUAAUUGGGUUGUGACAAAUGUAUGCACAGUUCAGCACUUAAAUGGACCUAACUCUAUCCCUGAAUUGGAGCAAGGACAGAACCUAAUCUUCAGCUCACUCUUCCUCUCUUUCCUGCUUAGGCAAAAGCAGCCUAUUCAGCUGUGAGGGGGUCAAAACUUUAGUCAUUCUGCUUUCUCCAAAACAAGCUGCAUUUCUUAUUUGGGGUUGUGUGGCAUACGAAAAAGUAUAGUACCUAUUUUACUUCUCCCCCUUUUUUUGCAUGCACGAGGCAUAUUUUUUAAAAAGUAGAUUUGCUCUUAAGAGAUACCAAGAGGUGUUGACUAGAGCCAGUUAGAACAUUUCCACAGCAACAUAUCAAGUUUCUAAAAACUAACAUUGAGGCAGGAGGUGGAGGGAAAAGAGAGAGACUCCAUAGCUCAGUUGAUAGACUGAAAUAUGGGAAAUAUACCUGCCUAAUUUGGAGUUGGCAGGAAUGAAAGACACGUUUUCAAUUCAGAGAGAGAAUGGACUUAAACCUCAGUCCCUCACGCUCUAGGCUGAUACCUUAACAAUUCGGAAACAUUAGCGCACACACACACACAAAUUCAAUUUCUGUGAAAACCUUCCAAAGAUUUGGUUUUGUUCUCAUUUGGCACACAAAAUGUUUGAAAUUUCAUAACUUGCUGAAAAAUGGAAUUGCUAUCUUCUAGUCAAGGUCCAAGUGAGACACAAAUAUUAGGCUGUCGAACUACAUCUGCGGAGAAUUAGUAGAAUCUCCCUUGCUUUGAACAUUUGGAAUUAGACUAUAAAAAAUAUUAGAAUGUUAGAUAAUGUUUGGUAUGUGCAAGGAAAGGUAUAUUGACAAGAAGAUGAGCAAGAUGAUCCGGGUGAGCUUUUCUAUCUUUUAAUAUAAUUAUCUGAAAACAAAGACGAGAGAGAAUCAUGGACUAAAUUAUACUGCAGCAUGGUAUCAAGUAAAAUGGCUGUUUAACUAAGGAAUACAGCAAAAGUUCAGUGUAUGGGAUCAUUGGCACGCUCACUUUAUAGGAGUAUUAGCAAGAAGCAGCUUUAUUUCAUUUACCAUGGGAUUCCUUUUGUUCUGAUUUACUUCUUAUGAAGUGUCUUGUUUGGAAAUGGAGUUGUAGAUGGCAUAAGUCACAAUGUAAUUUAGACCCAAAUAUUUGGGUGUCAUUUGAAAACAGCAAUCUAUCAAACAUUAGAGAACAGUAGACCCAACAGACAACUAUCUAUCAAACAUUAUUGAGUAUGAACCAUAUUUUAUCUUAAAAUUAAUUCGUUUUUACUGAUUCUCUCAUAACUUAUAAUUGCAGAUUGCUGAAAUAACUUAAAAAUGGACUUUUUAACAACACAAAAAUUUCUAUUGGAAAUACUGUAUGCGUUUUCAAUUUUUUUUUUUUGCAAAAAUGUAAAAAAAACUCAGAUGAAACUGAGUCUUUAUGCUUUGGUGUUGGGCAAAUUAUAUUUAAAAAAAAAAUCAGUUCACAAUAUUAAAAAAACUACAGAAAAAAAUUGUUUCUUUACAAAAUUUCCUGGGCAGUUCUACUUACAAUGUGUACAGAAAUAGGACAACUAAUGUGGUAAUGGCAGUUCAGAUGAAUUUGAUGUCACUUUCAAAAUCAAAGAUCCCACAACCUCAUCAUCUCCCAUAAGAGUUCAAAAAAUUUAGAAAUGCUUUUGGUGCUGGUCAAGAGAAGGGGGAAAAUAACAAUAUACAAAUGAGGAUAACAGAACGGGAGAUUCAGUAAGUCUUUGAAAGUUAUUUCCUUUAUGAAUGAGGAGAUCCCAUUAUUUGAAAGGUUACCCUAACCAUGUACAGUGUCCAGCGGAAACACAGCAGCACCACAGCAAGAGCUGCAAGGUCAUUAAGGGAAAACUGACCACAAAAAUAUAUUAAAAGCUAGGCUUAACCCCCUAGGUUAUUUUCAAUUUUUUGAUCAGAAGGAAAGGAAAGGAAAGGAAACUCACACCUUUUCCACAAUACAUUUAUACUCCUAUUGUAAAUACUACUAUCAUUUUCAGUAAGAUGACAGUGACUGUGAAGGAGGGGAGUCAUUAUGUAACUAGUAAUGAAUUGCAAUUUCAGGAAAUUGGCUACCUCCUCCCUAGAUUCUAUUAAAAUAUACCAUUUACAAGCUGCAAAAUAGUGAACCAGUAGCAAUCAAAUAGUAUGGACCAGAUUCAGACCUAAUAUAAUCAGCUGUAUUAUUUAAAAGUCUGGACGUAUAACACAAUAUAAAAUGCAAUUCAGUCUGCAUGUUAGUUGUAUGUCAAGAGUAAGUGAAUCAAAAAACAAGCAAGAUAUUAAAGAGUAAUCUGGAGACCAUUUAUAUAUUGAGGGGACAUAAUAUAAUGGGUGGGUUGAACAAAAAACUGGAGAAUGUAAACCCCAAAUAGUUUGUUUGCUUUUCUCCCUGUCACGAUAUUUGCACUGAAGCCUAUGUACUAAUGUCCAAAUAAAUGGAAGCUGCACUACUUUGUCAUUUAUACUUUUCUAAACAGAUGGCAUAUGUGUGAUGGGUCACAUGAUCUUGGCAUGCUAAAAUUCAUCUGGAGUGAAGAGAUGAGUGUGGCUGUGUGCUGUGAACUGCUAUUAAUGACCUUUGUCAUAGCAGUAUGGUAGUACAUGAUAGGGGAGCUUGUUUGUCUACAUACACUAGUGUAAUUUUACCCCUGAUUUUUCCUGGGAUAAAUCCACAACAAAUUAAAGUAAAUGACACUGAUAUAAGCAUGCUAUCACUCCAUGUCUUCUUUUUUUUUAAUGUCACCAGAGAAUUUGCCACUGCUCCCUAAAGUGCUGGGUUAAUCUGAAAACUGUGUGUAAAUCUCUCAGUAGCUCCUUGUCCACCUAAACUCCAUUUGUAAAUCUGCUAUGUUUUUCUGUUUGGUUUGGUUUUCAUUUCUUUCUAAGAUGCAGUGCUGCUAUGGAAGCAGAACUUAGUUAAAAUUCAGAAUUUUAAUUUUUCAGGAAAUUCUGAUAUUGCAGAAACAUUUUUAUUCUUACUUGGAAUAAAAGCUAGAUUUAUUUUUUUUUACAUUUCUACAGAAAGGAAUGUUGGAUGAUAAGCUGGCUGCCCUGACUCUCUGAGCUGCCCAUCACCUGAUGUUAGGGGACUUCUGCAGGCUGUCCCGGAAACCUAUGGAUCCCCUGGAUGUUUUCAGAGAGUGGGGGCAGUAUGGGGAGUGACUCAAAUUAGGCGAAUUAUAGGGAGUCCUCUAUUAUGGAAUUUAUUUAUUUACUUAUAGGGAGCCCAACUCAUGCUGGGAUUCUCAGGACUUCCAGGACUUAAUUCCAUUCUGCUUAGUAAUUAGCUGAGAUGACUUCAGAGUCUUAGUUCCCAUUUUAGUUUCCAGGCUCUCAGGUCAAGGCCUAAGAGUUCCAGUUUAAGUUUCAUAGAUUCAUAGAUGCUACGGUCAGAAGGGACCUCAAAAGAUCAUAGAGUCCAACCCCGUUCCUACGCAGGAAAGAGUACUGGGGUCAGAUGACCACAACCAGAUGCCUGUCCAGCCUUCUCUUAAAGACCCCCAAGGUAGGAGAGAGCACCACCUCCCUUGGAAGCCCAUUCCAAAUUUUGGCCACCCUUCCGUGAAGUUUUUCCUGAUGUCUAACCUAAAUCUGCUCUCUGUCAGUUUGUGACCAUUGUUCCUUGCUACCCGAAGAGGCACCCUGGUGAAAACAGCAUCUCCAAUACCUUGCUGCGUCCCCCUAAGAAUUUGUAGGCGGCCACAACAUCACCUCUCAGCCUUCUCUUGCAGAGGCUGAAGAGGUCCAGGUCCCUUACUCUCUCCUCAUAGGGCUUGGUCUGUACACCCUUAACCAUACGAGUGGCUCUCCUUCGGACCCUUUCGAGGUUAUCCACAUCCUUCUUAAAGUAUGGUGCCCAAAACUGGAUGCAGUACUCCAACUGUGGUCUGACCAAUGCCGCAUAGAGGGGAAGUAUCACCUUCUUGGUUCUAUUUGUCAUGCAUCUGCAUGAUAAAGUGAGGUUAGCUUUGCUGAUGAUUUCGUCACACUGAUGACUCACAUUCAUCUUGGAGUCCACUAUGACUCCGAGAUCCUUUUUCAUUUCUGUGCUUCUGAGAGGGUUAUUUCCCAGCCAGCAGGUGUGAGGGAUAUUUUUACACCCUAGGUACAGCACUCUGCAUUUGUCCUUGUUGAACUGCAUCCCAUUGUGUUCUGCCCACUUUUCCAACCCGUGCAGGUAAACCUGUAAUGGUUCCCUACCCUCCGGUGUGUUCAUUUCACCCACAAGUUUGCGGAUGAUACUAAAUUGGACAGAAUACACUUCAUGCCCACAUCCAAGUCACUGAUGAAGACAUUGAAGAGUACAGGUCCGAGGACUGAGCCCUGCAGGACCCCACUGAUUACAUCCUUCCAGGUUGAUACCAACCCGUCCACUACCACUCUCUGGGUGCAACCCCCAAACCAAUUUGCCGCCCACCAGACUGUGUAAUCAUCUAAGUCACAGUCUCUUAAUUUAUUUAUGAGAAUGGAAUGAGAUACCUUAUCAAAGCCCUUGCUAAAAUCCAAGUAAAUGACAUCCACUUCUACUCCUGCGUCUAAGUGUUUUGUGACACGGUCAUAAAAAGAAACCAGAUUAGUCAGGCAUGCUUUACCUGCUAUGAAUCCAUGCUGGUUGCCCUGCUGCAUUAUUUUUCCCGCUGGACUCACACAAAUAUGAUCUUUAAUAAUCUUUUCAAAGACUUUUCCAAGGAUGGAGGUGAGACUAACUGGCCUAUAAUUACUCAGAUCCUCCUUCCUCCUCUUCUUGAAAAUAGGGACCACACUGGCCCUUUUCCAGUCCUCUGGGACCUGACCUAAGCACUACAAGCACUCAAACAGCCGUGCCAGUGGUUCUACUACGAAAAGUUGAAGCAGGCUGUGCAGCAUAGACGCCAACCUUAAUGCCAUGUACAUGGCAGCACUUCCUAGGACCCGGGGCCGUGAGAGCACUAAAAUUCUUCCACUUAUGAGAGUUGAUUGCAUUGGGAAAGGGUACCAUCAAGUCUACAAACGGUGCUUUCAAGAACAAAACAGGCCAUCCACCCUGAGCAACAGGAUUAAGAACAUGCUUACAAACCUAAAAAGCUGUGAUAGGUCAGUCUUUGGAAACAUGGCCUGGUAGGCCUGAUUCUCUGGUCACUCAUGUUAGAGUGUCUCUGAUAGAAGACCUGAGAGUUUUGCCACUGUUAUACCAACUGAAGAAAGAGAAUCAGGCCCUAUGGAUAAGUACAGACAUUUGGGAAGAUUAAAAAGGGUUUAAAAAGACCACCUGACUUAAAACUAGCUAGACCCUCCAUACCCAUAAAAGGCGACCAGAGAACCAGAGAAUAGGGACUGCCAACAGGGGAGCAGUUUGUAGGCAGUUUGCAGGCCAGUUCGUGGGCAGGAGUACACAGGAGCUUAUGACAGAGACUUCAGGUAAGUGAAUGAGGAGGGGGGCUACUAUGGGAGUGGUGACAUGAAGUGCAGCCAGGACCCCUGCCCUGCUGCUGCCUCCAGCCUGGAGCUUCUGUGAGGCCUCCACCCAGACAGGCCCCUUGGAUGGGUCAGCACUGCCCUGGCCCCUUGUCUGCGGGGGUUGUCUGGUGGGACCUCUGAGGCCUGGAGGUAGCGUGGGGGCCGGGGGUUCCCUUGCUUGCCCCACAUGUGCUCAGAUUGAGGCCCUGGAGGGGCAGGUGAGGGAACACCAAGCAGAGGUGAGCAGGCUUCAGGGGAAAGGAUGAGAUUGAUGGAUAUUUUCAUUCUCUGCAGGACCAGACACCUGGUGCAGAGACAUCAGGGGAGAGUCCCAGGACAGCUAAAUGGAGGACGGUCACCUCCAGAGCUAGACAGCAUGUGGCUGUGACUGCUUCCCUAGUGCAACUAACGAACAGAUACAAAGUCCUGGCAGCACUGGAGGAUGAUGCAGCAGAGGAAGCUGCAAGGGAAGACACAUCUGCAACAAACACCGGGCAGGCUGAACGACAACCUAGCAGCCAGAAGAGAUGCCGUGUCAUCGUGGUUGGCUGAUCUCUUACGAAGAGCUAAACUAGGUUCAUCGGGGGAUGGGGAAGCAGAGGAUAAGGAGAACCUAGGAUCAGUGAGCCACGAGCAAUGCACUGGAUCAGUCCAAGUAAGCACUAAGGAAACAACUGUGACCAUCUGAAACCUGAGAUCCUGCUUCUGCCUUUGUUUCAAGGUAAUUUGCAUCAUCACAGAACCUCACAGGAGGUGAGAGGCUUCAUACCAGCUAUGAACCGACUGCCCAGAGGAGUCUUUCAUCUAUUGACUCUUUUGUGAAAUUCUGUGAAAUAUGAACUUACAUUUCUACCCACGAGAACUUUUACAAUCUUUUCUCCAAUGCCUAAUGAAGGGUGUUUGUGCUGGAAAGCUUGCAAUUAAAGAAUUUUUUUGCAAAAAUCUUGUUGGUCUAAUAAAAGAUCUCGUCUCUACUACAAGUCCUGAUUGCCUUGAAAAGUUAUUAGCGCUUAGGGAAACAGCUCGUUGGUGAGGUCCUGGGUAGAUUAUUACUGACAAAAUACAGAACAGUGACUGAAAGCAAAGGGCAAACUUUCUCAGUCCCAUUAAUUUCAGGGGGUAAAGAUCUCCAAAGAUUUCAUAAGGGAAAGAACCCAUCUCCUUUUUCUUAUCCUCUUCAUUUCCAGCAGGGUUACUGAGAGCAAGAUUUGGCUUUAGGUCUGAUGGUCUAGUAUAUUGUCCCUCCCUUCAGUUACCAGUUUACUCAGUCUUCAUAUUCUUUUUCUUAUAGAGGGCUCGUCUUCACUGCAUAUGUUAGUUCAAGCUGUAACUUAAGUAUUAUUGACUCCUUCCUAUGCACAAAAAUAUUUAGCUUGAGUUAAAUGCUACUCUAGACACAAGCUAGCUCUCCUGUAAGAGAGGUUGGGCUUGUAGCUGGAGUGAUGCUGAAUCUCCAGCUAGUGAUAGAGUGGAAAUGCAGUGACUGGAGUUGCAAAACCUCAUCAACUACUUUCCAAUUACCUUGCCUUGCACCAGUAUUGUAUCUCAAUACUUCUCUUUCACUCUGCUCUCACUCCAGUGUGGCAGUGAAGACAAGCCCUUGCAAAUAUAUCAUGGCUGGGUUAACUGUAUUUGCAUAUAUGG
Long non-coding RNA from Alligator mississippiensis (American alligator), 8013 nucleotides. RefSeq lists it as uncharacterized. The record is from RefSeq and is a predicted model, not a curated record. The transcript has 3 exons. Lineage: Eukaryota; Metazoa; Chordata; Crocodylia; Alligatoridae.